This 540-nucleotide ribosomal RNA is filed under the name uncultured bacterium. RNAcentral's name for it is "bacterial SSU rRNA". It matches the Rfam family "Bacterial small subunit ribosomal RNA", at positions 355 to 896 of the family's 1533-position model. The record is from RNAcentral.
UGAGGAAUAUUGGUCAAUGGGCGAGAGCCUGAACCAGCCAAGUAGCGUGCAGGAUGACGGCCCUAUGGGUUGUAAACUGCUUUUGUAUGGGGAUAAAGUCAAUCACGUGUGAUUGUUUGCAGGUACCAUACGAAUAAGGACCGGCUAAUUCCGUGCCAGCAGCCGCGGUAAUACGGAAGGUCCGGGCGUUAUCCUGAUUUAUUGGGUUUAAAGGGAGCGUAGGCUGGAGAUUAAGUGUGUUGUGAAAUGUAGACGCUCAACGUUUGACUUGCAGCGCAUACUGGUUUCCUUGAGUACGCACAACGUUGGCGGAAUUCGUCGUGUAGCGGUGAAAUGCUUAGAUAUGACGAAGAACUCCGAUUGCGAAGGCAGCUGACGGGAGCGCAACUGACGCUUAAGCUCGAAGGUGCGGGUAUCAAACAGGAUUAGAUACCCUGGUAGUCCGCACAGUAAACGAUGGAUGCCCGCUGUUGGUACCUGGUAUCAGCGGCUAAGCGAAAGCAUUAAGCAUCCCACCUGGGGAGUACGCCGGCAACGGUG